Oreochromis aureus is the source of this 1398-nucleotide long non-coding RNA. The record is from Ensembl. Lineage: Eukaryota; Metazoa; Chordata; Actinopteri; Cichliformes; Cichlidae.
GGAAAAUUUAGUAAAACUUAGCAGAAAUAUAUAUAUAUGACUCAGAAAAAAUGAAUAUCAAACUCAAAAGCAGCUUUAUUACUCAAGAACUUACAAAAUAAACAAGAUGGAAACCAGGAACAAUUAAUCAAAAACCAAAUACACAAAUCAUUGAGGAAAACAACGAGGACUCAACUGUACACAAGAAAAUGUGGGAGGCAACAGCUGGGCAAAACAAGACAGGUGAACAGAAUAACUAACGAGAAAAGGGGAAGCAAAACUUAACACAACACACACAAGACGAGGAACUAUCAAAAUAAGACUAAGACGUGAACCUCCCACAGUGACAGAGAUAAACAUGGAGACACGACUAACACUAUCAUACUGAACGGACUAGAUGCAGAGAUGAAGAGCCAUCAUAUAAAUUAGGUCUCAACAUCCAAAAGAGCAAAUCAUGAGCUCACAGGAAAAAAUCAAAAUAUCUUAAAAUUCAAACCGCCGGGUAAAAGACCCAGGACUAGGACAGACACAAACAUGAUCAGAGGGUUAAAUUAACUGGCAGAUUAUUGCAAACAUUUGAUCUGAAGAAUACACUGAAAUCAAUAUGUAGCAGAGCUUCUGACAUGAACUUCAAACAUUGCAGCUCGGCUCUUGAAGGAUGACUACAAAUCACAUUUUAAAUUGCACAACAUAAUUUAUAAGCAUUUAAGCAUCGAAAUUAUUAUGUAUGAUAUUGUUUUGCUUUUUAAACAGGAAUUGGCUCAUUGGUGUGGCGAGGACAAUGGAAAGCUAUGUUAAAUAUACAGUUGGAAUUUGCUAAAAUUGGCAGCUGCCCACAUGCACAACCCAAAUGCCUUCUGGAGAAAGGUUUAUGGCCAGAUGAAACAAAUAGAGCUAUUUGGCCACAAUGACAUGAAUGACAACAGGUAUACUGGGAGGAGUAACUGUGAGGCCUUCAAAACUAAAUAUACUGUAUCAACUGUCAAGCAUGCUCUGGGGCUAAAGAGUAUGAUGGCAUUGAAGCAUGCCAUUAUUCUGGGGCUAUUCUGCUGCCAGUGGUACUGGUACAAUGGCACUGGUGCACAAAGUGGAUGGAACAAGAAGGACUACCUCAAAAUGCUGCAAGAUCACCUGGUGGUUGAAACCUGGACACAACUGACCUUCCCAAUGAUGAAAUCACCCCAUUUGAUCAUUUUAGUCUUAAGGAGCUUGAUCACUUGAGAGUUAAUUGUUCAAUUGUCAUUUCAGUGGUCCACUGAAACUAACACUACUGACGAAAACUGGGCCGUGAAAUCAGUUUCUUGAUCAUUAAUAUACAAAUUGUCAUGAGCAUUGAUCAACAUCCACUGAUCAGUUUCAGUCAUUAUCCAAAUGUACUGUUUAUAAGGUUGGGGAAACCUGCAUUCAGCUGAGACUGAA